GAUGAACGCUGGCGGCGUGCCUAAUACAUGCAAGUCGAGCGAACAGACGAGGAGCUUGCUCCUCUGACGUUAGCGGCGGACGGGGGAGUAACACGUGGAUAACCUACCUAUAAGACUGGGAUAACUUCGGGAAACCGGAGCUAAUACCGGAUAAUAUAUUGAACCGCAUGGUUCAAUAUUGAAAGACGGUUUUGCUGUCACUUAUAGAUGGAUCCGCGCCGCAUUAGCUAGUUGGUAAGGUAACGGCUUACCAAGGCAACGAUGCGUAGCCGACCUGAGAGGGUGAUCGGCCACACUGGAACUGAGACACGGUCCAGACUCCUACGGGAGGCAGCAGUAGGGAAUCUUCCGCAAUGGGCGAAAGCCUGACGGAGCAACGCCGCGUGAGUGAUGAAGGUCUUCGGAUCGUAAAACUCUGUUAUUAGGGAAGAACAAAUGUGUAAGUAACUAUGCACGUCUUGACGGUACCUAAUCAGAAAGCCACGGCUAACUACGUG
This 497-nucleotide ribosomal RNA is filed under the name uncultured bacterium. RNAcentral's name for it is "partial 16S ribosomal RNA". It matches the Rfam family "Bacterial small subunit ribosomal RNA", at positions 28 to 507 of the family's 1533-position model. The record is from RNAcentral.